GGGCAGGUGGCGGAGCGGCUAACGCGCUGGACUGCAACUCCAGUUUUCAUGGGUUCGAGUCCCAUCCUGCCCU
Molecule: transfer RNA, 73 nt
Filed under: Abditibacteriaceae bacterium
Lineage: Bacteria; Pseudomonadati; Abditibacteriota; Abditibacteriia; Abditibacteriales; Abditibacteriaceae
Description: Abitibacteriaceae bacterium (rhizosphere metagenome) tRNA-Cys
Rfam family: tRNA
About the family: Transfer RNA (tRNA) molecules are approximately 80 nucleotides in length.
Source: RNAcentral